Molecule: ribosomal RNA, 460 nt
Filed under: uncultured bacterium
Lineage: Bacteria
Description: partial 16S ribosomal RNA
Rfam family: Bacterial small subunit ribosomal RNA
Source: RNAcentral
CCUACGGGGUGCAGCAGUGAGGAAUAUUGGUCAAUGGACGAGAGUCUGAACCAGCCAAGUAGCGUGAAGGAUGACUGCCCUAUGGGUUGUAAACUUCUUUUAUAUGGGAAUAAAAUGUUCCACGUGUGGGAUUUUGUAUGUACCAUAUGAAUAAGGAUCGGCUAACUCCGCGCCAGCAGCCGCGGUAAUACGGAGGAUCCGAGCGUUAUCCGGAUUUAUUGGGUUUAAAGGGAGCGUAGGUGGAUUGUUAAGUCAGUUGUGAAAGUUUGCGGCUCAACCGUAAAAUUGCAGUUGAAACUGGCAGUCUUGAGUACAGUAGAGGUGGGCGGAAUUCGUGGUGUAGCGGUGAAAUGCUUAGAUAUCACGAAGAACUCCGAUUGCGAAGGCAGUUCACUGGACUGCAACUGACACUGAGGCUCGAAAGUGUGGGUAUCAAACAGGAUUAGAUACCCUAGUAGUC